CACGUAGCUCAGCAGGAUAGAGCGACCGCCUCCUAAGCGGUAGGUCGGAGGUUCGAAUCCCCUCGUG
This 67-nucleotide transfer RNA is filed under the name mouse gut metagenome. It matches the Rfam family "tRNA". Rfam says of the family: Transfer RNA (tRNA) molecules are approximately 80 nucleotides in length. Their secondary structure includes four short double-helical elements and three loops (D, anti-codon, and T loops). Further hydrogen bonds mediate the characteristic L-shaped molecular structure. tRNAs have two regions of fundamental functional importance: the anti-codon, which is responsible for specific mRNA codon recognition, and the 3' end, to which the tRNAs corresponding amino acid is attached (by aminoacyl-tRNA synthetases). tRNAs cope with the degeneracy of the genetic code in two manners: having more than one tRNA (with a specific anti-codon) for a particular amino acid; and 'wobble' base-pairing, i.e. permitting non-standard base-pairing at the 3rd anti-codon position. The record is from RNAcentral. RNAcentral also lists the same sequence under 1 other name.